Non-coding RNA from Glycine soja, 85 nucleotides. The record is from Rfam. Lineage: Eukaryota; Viridiplantae; Streptophyta; Magnoliopsida; Fabales; Fabaceae.
CUGACAGAAGAGAGUGAGCACAUGCUAGUGGUAUUUGUAUGAGGGCAUACAAUUGCGGGUGCGUGCUCACUUCUCUAUCUGUCAG